GAGCUAAUCCCCAGGUGCAGCCACAAAGGGGUUCUCCACCGGUGAGAAAAAGUAUCUGCACAGGAUGACUCAGAAUCCUCUGUGGGCUCCAGAUGGACACAGAGGAACAUGAAAUGGAGGAGGUUACUGGUUUCAGGUGGAUGCAGAAGUGAAAGUACUACCAUAUGUGAGAGAGGUUCUGGCUGUCACAGUCUGACUGACAUUGAAAGGGGACCUAAUUUAGAGCUAAAGUGUGAAAUCCUGGCCUCAUUGAAGUCACUGGCAAAAUUCCUAUUUGCUUCAAGGGAGUGAGGAUUUCAUCCAAGAAAUACCGGCAUUAACAGCACCCCAUUCAUGUGGUUCCCUCGUCGUCCCGGAAGAGUACAACACAGGGAUAUAUGUGUAAGGACAACAUACUGCUAGAAGGGGCCCUGGAGAGCAGCAAAUGGCAACCAGACUGCAGAGCUGGCACUUCUGUUCCUCAUGGAUGCAUAGAAUCUACAUGAUUUGGAGAUGUACCCCCAGGAAAAAGCAUCCCGGUCUACCAGCCUCCACACAACUCCUUUGAUGCGCAUCUGAUCAUGCAAGGUUCUUAUGGAAAUUACACCAGCCUUGCACAAUUGCCAUGGAAAUUUUCCAGCCCAGAAUCUAGAUGGAAGAACGGAGAUAACCAUACAAUACCACUGGGAAAUAUUUUGAAAUCCUUAAGUUAAUAGACAAGAGAACUGACCUUGCACUGAAGUAGUUUUGUAGGGAAAUUCCACACUGGCAGGUAAAUAAGGAAACAUUUUUGCGGCAAGUUGCUUUUUAAAAAAUGGCAGCUGCUUGGAAGCUGCUGAAAGGUUUGGAAUCUGAGGCAGCAGAAAUGGAAUA
Molecule: long non-coding RNA, 852 nt
Organism: Mauremys reevesii (Reeves's turtle)
Lineage: Eukaryota; Metazoa; Chordata; Testudines; Geoemydidae
Exons: 9
Source: RefSeq, a predicted model, not a curated record